AUUGAACGCUGGCGGCAGGCCCAACACAUGCAAGUCGAGCGGAUGAAGGGAGCUUGCUCCUGGAUUCAGCGGCGGACGGGUGAGUAAUGCCUAGGAAUCUGCCUGGUAGUGGGGGAUAACGUCCGGAAACGGGCGCUAAUACCGCAUACGUCCUGAGGGAGAAAGUGGGGGAUCUUCGGACCUCACGCUAUCAGAUGAGCCUAGGUCGGAUUAGCUAGUUGGUGGGGUAAAGGCCUACCAAGGCGACGAUCCGUAACUGGUCUGAGAGGAUGAUCAGUCACACUGGAACUGAGACACGGUCCAGACUCCUACGGGAGGCAGCAGUGGGGAAUAUUGGACAAUGGGCGAAAGCCUGAUCCAGCCAUGCCGCGUGUGUGAAGAAGGUCUUCGGAUUGUAAAGCACUUUAAGUUGGGAGGAAGGGCAGUAAGUUAAUACCUUGCUGUUUUGACGUUACCAACAGAGUAAGCACCGGCUAACUUCGUG
This 484-nucleotide ribosomal RNA is filed under the name uncultured bacterium. Its description in RNAcentral is "partial 16S ribosomal RNA". It matches the Rfam family "Bacterial small subunit ribosomal RNA", at positions 30 to 507 of the family's 1533-position model. The record is from RNAcentral.